Molecule: unclassified non-coding RNA, 201 nt
Filed under: uncultured Sebacinaceae
Lineage: Eukaryota; Fungi; Basidiomycota; Agaricomycetes; Sebacinales; Sebacinaceae
Description: sequence contains ITS2
Source: RNAcentral
UAAUCUCACAUCAACAACUCUUGUUGUGGAUGGUGGAAUUGGACGUCUGUCGUGUUACACGACUCGUCUGAAAUGUAUGAGUGUACCCUGCCUUGCAGCGUAUCCAGUGUGAUAAGCAUCUUCACUGGUUUGGCCUUUACCGGCGACGCCUUGGCCACAGGUAGUAUGCUUCUAACCGUCCCUAUGGACAAUAUCUUGACA